This 715-nucleotide ribosomal RNA is filed under the name uncultured bacterium. Its description in RNAcentral is "bacterial SSU rRNA". It matches the Rfam family "Bacterial small subunit ribosomal RNA", at positions 56 to 766 of the family's 1533-position model. The record is from RNAcentral.
UGCAAGUCGAGCGGUAGAGAGAAGCUUGCUUCUCUGAGAGCGGCGGACGGGUGAGUAAUGCCUAGGAAUCUGCCUGGUAGUGGGGGAUAACGUUCGGAAACGGACGCUAAUACCGCAUACGUCCUACGGGAGAAAGCAGGGGACCUUUCGGGCCUUGCGCUAUCAGAUGAGCCUAGGUCGGAUUAGCUAGUUGGUGAGGUAAUGGCUCACCAAGGCGACGAUCCGUAACUGGUCUGAGAGGAUGAUCAGUCACACUGGAACUGAGACACGGUCCAGACUCCUACGGGAGGCAGCAGUUGGGAAUAUUGGACAAUGGGCGAAAGCCUGAUCCAGCCAUGCCGCGUGUGUGAAGAAGGUCUUCGGAUUGUAAAGCACUUUAAGUUGGGAGGAAGGGCAGUUACCUAAUACGUGAUUGUUUUGACGUUACCGACAGAAUAAGCACCGGCUAACUCUGUGCCAGCAGCCGCGGUAAUACAGAGGGUGCAAGCGUUAAUCGGAAUUACUGGGCGUAAAGCGCGCGUAGGUGGUUUGUUAAGUUGGAUGUGAAAUCCCCGGGCUCAACCUGGGAACUGCACUCAAAACUGACUGACUAGAGUAUGGUAGAGGGUGGUGGAAUUUCCUGUGUAGCGGUGAAAUGCGUAGAUAUAGGAAGGAACACCAGUGGCGAAGGCGACCACCUGGACUGAUACUGACACUGAGGUGCGAAAGCGUGGGG